Molecule: ribosomal RNA, 710 nt
Filed under: Algiphilus sp.
Lineage: Bacteria; Pseudomonadati; Pseudomonadota; Gammaproteobacteria; Nevskiales; Algiphilaceae
Description: bacterial SSU rRNA
Rfam family: Bacterial small subunit ribosomal RNA
Source: RNAcentral
UGCUGGGCGGAUGCUUACACAUGCAGUCGAGCGGCAGCAUGCCCUUCGGGGUGAUGGCGAGCGGCGGACGGGUGAGUAAUACAUAGGAAUCUGCCCUAGAGUGGGGGAUAGCCCGGGGAAACUCGGAUUAAUACCGCAUAAUCUCUACGGAGCAAAGUGGGGGAUCUUCGGACCUCACGCUUUAGGAUGAGCCUAUGGCCGAUUAGCUUGUUGGUGAGGUAACGGCUCACCAAGGCCACGAUCGGUAGCUGGUUUGAGAGGAUGAUCAGCCACACUGGGACUGAGACACGGCCCAGACUCCUACGGGAGGCAGCAGUGGGGAAUAUUGGACAAUGGGCGAAAGCCUGAUCCAGCAAUUCCGCGUGUGUGAAGAAGGCCUUAGGGUUGUAAAGCACUUUAAUCAGGGAAGAAAAAGCUUUGGCUAAUAUCCAAAGCCUUGACGGUACCUGAAGAAUAAGCACCGGCAAACUCUGUGCCAGCAGCCGCGGUAAUACAGAGGGUGCGAGCGUUAAUCGGAUUUACUGGGCGUAAAGCGUGCGUAGGAGGCUUGUUAAGUCGGUUGUGAAAUCCCCGGGCUCAACCUGGGAACUGCAGUCGAUACUGGCAAGCUAGAGUUCGGUAGAGGGUGGUGGAAUUUCCGGUGUAGCGGUGAAAUGCGUAGAGAUCGGAAGGAACACCAAUGGCGAAGGCAACCACCUGGGCCUGAACUG